ACCGUGCAGUUGCAAGAAAAGUACAGAAUAGUAAUUUCCCUAUGUCCUCUUUUUUUCUUUUUUCAAUUCCCUCUGAUGUAGAAUUUGAAAUCCUACAAUUCUGCAACUCACACUACUACCCAAUUCCCAUUCACCCGUAGCAAACAAAAUGGAAGAACCAAUGCUACACCUUAUAAUGGAAAAAGGUCCACUUUCUGGUCAAAAUCUAGACUACAAACCCGGUUCAAAGAUCCACAUUGGUCGGGUCAUCCGUGGCAAUACAAUCUCUAUCAAAGACCCCGGUAUCUCCUCUAAACACCUCAGUAUCCAUUUCGAAUCCGGGUCAUGGGUCAUCAAUGAUCUCGGAUCCUCAAACGGUACAUUUCUCAACACUAUCGCAAUUGACCCGUCUCAACCCACUAAACUUACAGACGGUGAUGUUAUAAAAAUCGGCGAAUUGACGUCAAUUAAAGUCAAAAUUUCAGCAAUGGAGGUUGACCCAGUUGAAGAAAUUGAGCCUAAGGGUAGAAAUACUCGACGAAACACGAAGCGUAAGGCGGGAUUGGGGGUGAUUGAUGAAAAUAGUGAGCUAGGGUUUGGAAAUGUGGGUCCCAAAAGAACGACUAGGAAUGCUAAGAAUUUGAAAAUUGAGGUUGGAAAUGUGGAUGAAGUUGAGAACUUUACUGUAAUUGAAGCUGAGAAAGAGGGGAAAGGGAAUUCGAGGAAAACUCGAGGUUCUAAGAAAGUAGAGAGUGUGAAUGAAGCUGAGAAUAUUGAUGUAGUUGAUGUUGAAAGAGAGAAUAAACUGUGUUCGAAGAGGACUAGGGGUUCGAAGAAAGUGGAGAGUGUUAAAGAUGUGGAUGAUGGUGUGGAGGAAGCUGAGAAUAUUGAUGUUGAAAGAGAGACUAAAUGUCCGAGGAGGACUAGGGGUUCUAGGAAAGCGGAUAGUGUUAAAGAUGGGGGUGAUGAUAUGGAGGAAACUGGAAGUCUAGUUGUAGUUGAGGUGGAGCAACAAAGGAAACCUAGUCCGAGGAGGACUAGGGGUGGUUCUAGGAAAGUGGAGAGUCUUGGUGUAGUUGAUGCAGAUAGAGAGAGGAAACCGAGUCCGAGGAGAACUAGGGGUUCUAAGAGAGCACAGAAUGUGGAAGAAGCUAAGAAUUUUGUAGCAAUUGAUGUAGAGAAAGAGAAGAAAGUGUGUACGAGGAGGACUAGGGGUUUAAGGAAGGAGAAAGACGUGGAAAAUGUCCAUGAAAAUGUAGGUGAAUGCAUGGAAUUGAAGCAACUUGGGAAUGGGAAGGGGAAGGGGAAGGGAAGCACUACAACAACAGUGCGUUCGGAGGAAGAUGGGGUGAUGGAGAAGUUGGAAAGAGACCAAAAAGAUUGUGAAGAAACAGUAGAGGACAAUGCCGAUAAAGGAGUUGAAAGAAAUGUGCUUGAGGAGGUGUCAGUUAGUAAUGUUGGUGGUGCAAACCCGAGUGAAGUUCCAAUGGAGGAGGUUGUGGAUUUAGAGAAAAUGACACUUGGAGAGUGGUUUGAUUAUUUGGAGGUUAAUUUGCCAGAACAAAUAAUUGAUGCCACUGAGGAGAUGAUUUUAGGUAUGAAACAGAAAGCAGAGAGAUUUCAGGAGUUCAUGUUGCAGCAGAAGAAUGCAAAUGAUUGUGAUGGAAUACCAAAGGGUUAGACCGAGGAAUCAGUAGUGAGGUUUACAUUCUUAGGUAAUUUUCUUUUGCAUUGCUUGUUUCAGGGGAAUUCAUUUUCUAGAAAUACUUGAAUUUCUUAUUUGCAUAAAUGCUAUUCUAUUAUAUCUGUGUAUUGUGAGCCCUUGUUUACUUACAACAACUGAAAAAUUCUCAUUUAGUUGAAGCAAUUAAGAUGUUGAUAACAAACACUUUUGUUUUGUUAUUAAAUUCCUUUUCUUUAAUGUGAGAAUUAAUCUGAUGCAUAUCUUAGUCCAAUGCUCAAUGACUUCUGAAGUUUAAAACAUGGAUGAUUAUCAUCUGAGUUAUGUCAAUAUAGUUUAGGAGACCACGGAAGUCCAAAACAAUGUCUUGGGGGGCACCAAAAGUGGGAUACCGACCUGUUAUUUCCAAUUCUAAUAUAAUACAGAAUAGAUAGGCAUUAGCAUUUGCAGUGAGCCAGUUGCAUCUUAAGUACAAUAUUGUAUGGUCCAGAAUUUAGCAGAAUUUCUUGUAGGGGCUGUAGAAGGAUAUAUUGACAUUGUUGUUUGCUGCAUCUGAGAAUGCUUGAAAGAAACUGUAACAGAUUUAUUUCUUAGCUGGCACUAGUUAAUAUCACUGCUUUCCUUUAUGUCUUUCCCUAUGCAUCUUAAAUAGAUUCCGGAUUAUUACCUGCCGUGAACUUUUAUUUUAUGUACCAACUACCAGCCAUUUCCUAUAUAGUUUGUUCCCUGGAACUGUAGAGUUUGUUGCUAUAUUAAGGAAAUAUGGGUUGUUGACACAAACAAACUGAAAUAGGGGGCAUCCUCUGAAGAUAAAAUACCCUACUUAGACAAAAUGAUCCGAAAUUUAUAGACUGCUAAGCAUCUGUUGACAUACUGAGUUGGGAUUUGAAUUUGUUAUUCCUAAUUGUUUGGCUGUUGAUCCUCGUGGAGGUGGCAUCUACCAUUGGCUACUGUUCUGUGUUGGUGAAAGAAAAAAAUAGUAUUAUCAAUUCUUCAGGAUAAUGGAAUAUCUGAAAUUGAUAUUUGCUCUAAAUUAGGCCGUUCCACAUAAAUAUGAUAAAAUUAAAUCACUUGCCUCAAUGUGUCAGUGGUUGGCGGUGUUGCAUUAGCUCCUGUAGUAACUGCAUUACUUUUAACAUCCAGAGUAGACUGUGGCAUAGGUUUACUUCGAUACAGUAAGCUUAAGUAAAAUAUUAUAUGAUCAAGAGUUUUGCAGAAUUUCUAGUUAAGGGCUGUAGAA
RNA transcript from Lycium ferocissimum, 2900 nucleotides. RefSeq lists it as uncharacterized. NCBI's taxonomy places the organism in Eukaryota, Viridiplantae, Streptophyta, Magnoliopsida, Solanales, Solanaceae. The record is from RefSeq and is a predicted model, not a curated record. The transcript has 2 exons.